RNAcentral lists this ribosomal RNA (301 nucleotides) under uncultured bacterium. RNAcentral's name for it is "partial 16S ribosomal RNA". It matches the Rfam family "Bacterial small subunit ribosomal RNA", at positions 509 to 809 of the family's 1533-position model. The record is from RNAcentral.
CAGUAGCCACGGGAAUACGUAGGUGGCGAGCGUUGUCCGGAAUCAUUGGGCGUAAAGGGAGCGCAGGCGGGCCGGUAAGUCUUACUUAAAAGUGCGGGGCUCAACCCCGUGAUGGGAGAGAAACUAUCGGUCUUGAGUACAGGAGAGGAAAGCGGAAUUCCCAGUGUGGCGGUGAAAUGCGUAGAUAUUGGGAAGAACACCAGUGGCGAAGGCGGCUUUCUGGACUGCAACUGACGCUGAGGCUCGAAAGCCAGGGGAGCGAACGGGAUUAGAUACCCGCGUAGUCCCUGUCUCUUAUACA